RNAcentral lists this transfer RNA (73 nucleotides) under Nanobdellota archaeon. RNAcentral describes it as "tRNA-Gln". It matches the Rfam family "tRNA". From Rfam's summary of the family: Transfer RNA (tRNA) molecules are approximately 80 nucleotides in length. Their secondary structure includes four short double-helical elements and three loops (D, anti-codon, and T loops). The record is from RNAcentral. Lineage: Archaea; Nanobdellati; Nanobdellota.
AGCCCUAUGGUUCAGCGGUCAAGAAUUCGGCCCUUUGAAGGCCGAGACCCAGGUUCGAAUCCUGGUAGGGCUA